GCGGCAACAGCUCAAAUUUGAAAGCUGGCCUUCGGGCUCGCAUUGUAAUUUGUAGAGGAUGCUUUGGGGCAGCCGCCUGUCUAAGUUCCUUGGAACAGGACGUCAUAGAGGGUGAGAAUCCCGUAUGUGACAGGACAUGGCACCCUAUGUAAAGCUCCUUCGACGAGUCGAGUUGUUUGGGAAUGCAGCUCUAAAUGGGAGGUAAAUUUCUUCUAAAGCUAAAUACCGGCGAGAGACCGAUAGCGCACAAGUAGAGUGAUCGAAAGAUGAAAAGCACUUUGGAAAGAGAGUUAAAAAGCACGUGAAAUUGUUGAAAGGGAAGCGCUUGCAAUCAGACUUGUUUUGACUGUUCGGCCGGUCUUCUGACCGGUUUACUCAGUCUGGACAGGCCAGCAUCAGUUUUGGCGGCCGGAUAAAGGCCCAGGGAAUGUGGCUCUCACUUCGGUGGGAGUGUUAUAGCCCUGGGUGUAAUACGGCCAGCCGGGACUGAGGUCCGCGCUUCGGCUAGGAUGCUGGCGUAAUGGUUGUAAGCGACCCGUCUUGAAACACGGACCA
RNAcentral lists this ribosomal RNA (555 nucleotides) under Aureobasidium thailandense. RNAcentral describes it as "partial large subunit ribosomal RNA". It matches the Rfam family "Eukaryotic large subunit ribosomal RNA", at positions 98 to 668 of the family's 3401-position model. The record is from RNAcentral. Lineage: Eukaryota; Fungi; Ascomycota; Dothideomycetes; Dothideales; Saccotheciaceae.